UACCGCCGUGUACGUGAUCCGUAUGCACGGUGGUGUGGGAUAAGGGGCGCUUUGAGGCGCCUCGCUAUCCUGAU
Molecule: unclassified non-coding RNA, 74 nt
Filed under: Alkalimonas amylolytica
Lineage: Bacteria; Pseudomonadati; Pseudomonadota; Gammaproteobacteria
Source: RNAcentral